GUAUCUUAUGAAUCCGAGACAUUCAUGUAUCCCUGCAUCCCUGUAAUCUCAGUCCAAUGAUUAAAAUCAUGUGGCUCACGUCGAGUCAAAGGGAACUUUACAUUUUACAUGCCCGCUUCUAGAUUUAACCAACGUCUCUUUUGCAAAAUCCCCCCUAUCUCUGAAUCUCCGAAACCCCAACCGUCUCCGCUGCAUCAGAUCUUGGGGUCAUGGCCUCGUUUUCCCCUGCCUACCAAGGGCGAGGAGACCACGGCUGUAGGGCGCGCCCGGCGGCAGUCCUACUCAGGUUCUUCCGCGCGCGACUUCCAGGGCGGCGCCUCCUUGUACAUGCUCUGCAAGACCAUCCGCUGGCGUAGGGUCCCGGAGAGCCGCGGCUUCUCCACCUGCGACGGCGAGCUGCUGCCACAGGAGUCGCUGGGCGCGAGAUUUACCUCCUGGAGGGUGGGCACCAUGAAGCGGCACGUGCCAAGUUCGGCUUCAGGUCCGGCGUCCCUCCGUUGGUGAUGCAGAUUGUAAUGAAUGAUGAUGGCCAGGAGAUGGUCUAUGCUAGUUGAUUUCUGAAAUAUUGUUCCGGUACCGACGAAGCAGGAGGCAAAGGAUUGCUGGAUGGUUUAGGAUAGAUUGGUGUUAUGGUUUUACUUCUCCCUGGAGUCUGGCUUUGCAAAUAAUCUAGUGAUUCCUGAGUCUGACUUUGCUUUGGCGCUGUCAUGAUUCCAGAAAAGGGUCUUGGUGUCUCUAGGACUCUAGGUGAUGUCAUGAUUACAAGUCUUAGGUGAUGUAUGCUGCUGUAACUGAAAAAUUUCCUUGUCCUCCUGAGUAGAAAGUCGAUUCCAUUUUCUCUUUGUUGGGUGUGUGUGUGGCUUGUGGGUUUAGUGUGUAUGCCCAACGUUGGCAUCACUGAUUUUUCAGAAAGGAGUGUAAAUUGUUGUGAAUGGAAAUAACAGAAACAUACUGUUUCUUA
Lolium perenne is the source of this 961-nucleotide long non-coding RNA. RefSeq lists it as uncharacterized. Lineage: Eukaryota; Viridiplantae; Streptophyta; Magnoliopsida; Poales; Poaceae. The record is from RefSeq and is a predicted model, not a curated record.